GGGCGACCUGAAUUGUCCACAGUAUUCCAAAUGUGACCUCACCAAUGUCUCGUACAGCUGUAACAGGAUGUCCCAACUCCUGUACUCAGUGCUCUGACCAAUGAAGACUCCACAAUGGAUGGGGAAUGCUGGCUUAAAGGGAGAUAAUGGAUCCACCUACCUACAAUGUUUUGAAUACAGUAAACAUUCCAAGGCAAGCAACAGGACUGUAGAAAAGAACACAAUCUGAUGUCAAGUGAUGUAGUGAGAUGUCAGGUGACCCGAAGCUUGAUCAAAGAGGAAGGAUUUCAAUAAACGGUGGACAGAAUUUUGCAACCUGGUCCUCCCGUGGCAGGAGAUUACAGUUCAUGUUACAAUCUGCCUGAGGGCUGUGCGUUGGAGAAGGGUUGAUCAGAUCUUCUGGCACCUUGAUUGCCUGAGGCUGUGCACUUUACACCUCCCAACAUGACCACAGUGGAAAGGGUUGGCAUGGCUCCAUUGGAUGAUUUGAAGCCACCGGAUGGCCCCAUUGGCCAAAGGCCACAGAACAUUCUGGAAUGUCAGAGCGAGGGAGUAUAAGAACACACACUGAUACACCACCCCUUCAGUGACUAUUUGGCGACGGCUCACAAUGAAGACUCACAGCAAGACCCAUAUUGGAAGACCACACAGCAACCCAAGAAGACCCAGGAGAAAAUAUGCCCUGACCUGUGAAACCCAUCUUCAUGGAAGAGAGCCAGCCCUGCAUCAGAGAGGAAAGUGAUACUAACAGUCCAGCUCAAAUGUAUGAAUCAUUGUGCUAGCUAGAGAGUGAACAUUGUGGGAACUUGGGAGAUGCUCACAUAAUGUUUUUAAUAAGAAGUACUUUGUUAAUGAAAUCAUGUUGAACUGCAAA
Long non-coding RNA from Rhincodon typus (whale shark), 874 nucleotides. RefSeq lists it as uncharacterized. The transcript has 3 exons. NCBI's taxonomy places the organism in Eukaryota, Metazoa, Chordata, Chondrichthyes, Orectolobiformes, Rhincodontidae. The record is from RefSeq and is a predicted model, not a curated record.